CUUUUUAGAACGGUCAGGAAGAGAGUUCCAAAUAUGCAUUUCAAAGCAACAAGGCACGUUACUGUAAAAAGACUUUCAUCUUGGCUCAAUCCAUUUAAUAUUCUAUUAUUUCGGCUUUCUAUUUUACGCCAAAAAUAAGGAACAUCCAACAACCUGUCUAAUUUUUACCGACAACUCGUCUCGAAAAUAAUGCGGUUGAUUUUAGUCCAACAACUCCAAUUUUCAAGCCAUGGUAGUUGAGAACGAUAAGAAAAGUUUCAAGACGGUACUAACUUAUAAUUGAAAUUAUGUAACUUUUUUUAUAGGAAUCAUCUCCCACUCCGUCACGUUUGAAAAAAUAAUGCUCUAUAGUUUGGCUUGUCUGCUACGUGUCAGUGGCGAGGCGUGAAUGAUCGAUUAUCGAUAUUUCCCCAUUUGAAGCUGUGGUAGAGAAUCGAUUAUUAAGGUGUUCGUUGCGAACACCCUGUUUAUCGAUCCUUUCUUAUAGGGUUAUAAAUGGGAGAUCAAUCAGUAUAUAGCAAAGCACGCCACGCCACUGCUAUGUGUGUUUUAGCUGCUCGUUUCGAGUUUUCUACUUGUCCGGGCGGUAGAGUCCGGUGACUUACAACGUCAAGCUUCCACAAUAGUCUUUCAAUUUCCCUUUAUCAGUUAUUAACACGUGAAUUGAAAAGUGUAGUCGUAUAUUUUAAGACUAUAGUAAAGAGGUUUCACGGGGAAAAACUGAACGUUGAAAGAAAACUGGUAAAACUCCCAGAAUAAUAUUGCCAACUUAGAGAACUAAGAUGAACGGUGAAGCACAAAGGUUGAAUCUACCGUAGAUCAAUUAACAUGUACUCAUGAUUUGACGGGGGCCUCGACCAAUUACGGUCAUGUAUUGGCUGCAAAUCAAUUUGGCAGCCCAUAUGGUUACCGACCGCCUCCCACAUUUCUCAACACUCAACAGUAACUUGAAACAAGACGGUCCGACUGAAAUUGCAGUCAUAAAAUUCAAGGUGGAUCCUGCUACUGGGUUAAUGCCUGCAGAAGUCGUCAAAAAAUCCUUAAAAAAAUUACGUCAUACGGAACGGAGAGAAGAAAAAAUGAAGAGAUUAAGAAAAGAAGAUGACAAAUCUGAAAAUGAUAAAAUGUGUGAGAGUUUUCUGAAUCAACUUCACACUUUAGUUCCACUCAAAUCAGAACAUGAUGCUACUUCUUCGGAAUCUGAUCCUAAUUAAAGGAAAAGAAUCAUCCUUCUUCAUCCUUUCUACCCUUCAAUCAUACUUUUCUGAAUUUUGAAAUAUAUUAUUAUACAAUAUUAUUAUAUAUUAUGUUAUACUUUUCAUUAAUAUUAUAUUUUUUA
RNAcentral lists this long non-coding RNA (1339 nucleotides) under Bemisia tabaci. Its description in RNAcentral is "lncRNA ENSSSA3NGG011925". The record is from RNAcentral. Lineage: Eukaryota; Metazoa; Arthropoda; Insecta; Hemiptera; Aleyrodidae.